UAAAAAGUGUAAAACCCAUUUUAUCUACCUAUGCAAACUUGAAUUUGAUUUUUUUUCCAUAAAUUGGUAAUUGGUCAAGCUCUGCUUCCGUGUUGCUCUUGUAUUGCUUUUUCUUUCUACAUUUUUUUUUGUCUGAUUUAUCAUAAUCUCAUGGAGAGUUCGAUCUUGGCUCAAGAUGAACGCUGGCGGCAUGCUUAACACAUGCAAGUCGGAGGGGAAGUGGUGUUUCCAAUGGCAGACGGGUGAGUAACGCAUAAGAACUUGCCCUUGAGAGGGGAACAACAGCUAGAAACGACUGCUAAUACCUAGUAGGCUGAGGAGCAAAAGGAGAAAUACACCCGAGGAGGGGCUCGCGUUUGAUUAGCUAGUUGGUGAGGCAAUAGCUUACCAAGGCGAUGAUCAGUAGUUGGUCCGAGAGGAUGAUCAGCCACACUGGGACUGAGACAAGGCCCAGACUCUUACGGGAUGCAGCAGUGGGGAAUUUUUCGCAAUGGGCGAAAGCCUGACAGAGCAAUGCCGCGUGGAGGUAGAAGGCCUACGGGUCGUGAACUUCUUUUCCGGAGAAUAAGCAAUGACGGUAUCUAGGGAAUAAGCAUCGGCUAACUCUGUGUCAGCAGCUGCGGUAAUACAGAAGAUGCAAACGUUAUCCGGAAUGAUUGGGCGUAAAGAUUCUGUAGGUGGCUUUUUAAGUCUGCCGUCAAAUCCCAGGGCUCAACCCUGGACAGGCGGUGGAAACUACCAAGCUGGAGUAUGGUAGGGGCAGAGGGAAUUUCCGAUGGAGCGGUGAAAUGCGUAGAGAUCGGAAAGAACACCAACGGUGAAAGCACUCUGCUGGGCCGACACUGACACUGAGAGACGAAAGUUAGGGGAGCGAAUGGGAUUAGAUACCCUAGUAGUCCUAGCCUAAACGAUGGAUACUAGGCACUGUGCGUAUCGACCCAUGCGGUGUUGUAGCUAACGCGUUAAGUAUCCCGCCUGGGGAGUACGUUCGCAAGAAUGAAACUCAAAGGGAUUGAGGGGGCCCGCACAAGUAGUGGAGUAUGUGGUUUAAUUCAAUGCAAAGCGAAGAACCUUACCAGGGCUUGACAUGCCAGGAAUCCUCUUGAAAGAGAGGGGUGCCUUCGGGAACGCGGACACAGGUGGUGCAUGGCUAUCGUCAGCUCAUGCCGUAAGGUGUUGGGUUAAGUCCCGCAACGAGCGCAACCUUCGUAUUUAGUUGCCACCGUUGAGUUUGGAACCCUGAGCAGACUGCCGGUGAUAAGCCGGAGGAAGGUGAGGAUGACUUUGCAAUUGUGGUUUGAUAUAUUAGAUGAGUAAUAUGUAUGCUAUAUGUGUGUGAUGUGUUUGGAAUAUGCUUAAGGAUUAAAGUAAUGUUAUGUAAAGCUCAUGUUUAUUCAUUUGGUAAGUUUGAUA
Molecule: non-coding RNA, 1413 nt
Organism: Gossypium arboreum
Lineage: Eukaryota; Viridiplantae; Streptophyta; Magnoliopsida; Malvales; Malvaceae
Source: Rfam